RNAcentral lists this ribosomal RNA (520 nucleotides) under uncultured bacterium. Its description in RNAcentral is "bacterial SSU rRNA". It matches the Rfam family "Bacterial small subunit ribosomal RNA", at positions 120 to 674 of the family's 1533-position model. The record is from RNAcentral.
GGGAAUCUACCGUGCCCUGCGGAAUAGCUCCGGGAAACUGGAAUUAAUACCGCAUACGCCCUACGGGGGAAAGAUUUAUCGGGAUAUGAUGAGCCCGCGUUGGAUUAGCUAGUUGGUGGGGUAAAGGCCUACCAAGGCGACGAUCCAUAGCUGGUCUGAGAGGAUGAUCAGCCACAUUGGGACUGAGACACGGCCCAAACUCCUACGGGAGGCAGCAGUGGGGAAUAUCGGACAAUGGGCGCAAGCCUGAUCCAGCCAUGCCGCGUGAGUGAUGAAGGCCUUAGGGUUGUAAAGCUCUUUCACCGGAGAAGAUAAUGACGGUAUCCGGAGAAGAAGCCCCGGCUAACUUCGUGCCAGCAGCCGCGGUAAUACGAAGGGGGCUAGCGUUGUUCGGAAUUACUGGGCGUAAAGCGCACGUAGGCGGAUAUUUAAGUCAGGGGUGAAAUCCCAGAGCUCAACUCUGGAACUGCCUUUGAUACUGGGUAUCUUGAGUAUGGAAGAGGUAAGUGGAAUUCCGAGU